This 485-nucleotide ribosomal RNA is filed under the name uncultured Ruegeria sp. RNAcentral describes it as "bacterial SSU rRNA". It matches the Rfam family "Bacterial small subunit ribosomal RNA", at positions 31 to 567 of the family's 1533-position model. Lineage: Bacteria; Pseudomonadati; Pseudomonadota; Alphaproteobacteria; Rhodobacterales; Roseobacteraceae. The record is from RNAcentral.
GAACCUGGCGGCAGGCUACACAUGCUUAUCGAGCGCGCCUUCGGGUGAGCGGCGGACGGGUUAGUACGCGUGGGAACGUGCCCUUCUCUACGGAAUAGCCUCUGGAAACGGAGAGUAAUACCGUAUACGCCCUUUGGGGGAAAGAUUUAUCGGAGAAGGAUCGGCCCGCGUUAGAUUAGGUAGUUGGUGGGGUAACGGCCUACCAAGCCUACGAUCUAUAGCUGGUUUUAGAGGAUGAUCAGCAACACUGGGACUGAGACACGGCCCAGACUCCUACGGGAGGCAGCAGUGGGGAAUCUUAGACAAUGGGGGCAACCCUGAUCUAGCCAUGCCGCGUGAGUGAUGAAGGCCUUAGGGUCGUAAAGCUCUUUCGCCUGUGAUGAUAAUGACAGUAGCAGGUAAAGAAACCCCGGACUAACUCCGUGCCAGCAGCCGCGGUAAUACGGAGGGGGUUAGCGUUGUUCGGAAUUACUGGGCGUAAAGCG